Molecule: unclassified non-coding RNA, 201 nt
Filed under: fungal sp.
Lineage: Eukaryota; Fungi
Description: partial internal transcribed spacer region
Rfam family: Eukaryotic small subunit ribosomal RNA (bases 1-46)
Source: RNAcentral
AAGUCGUAACAAGGUAUCCGUAGGUGAACCUGCGGAUGGAUCAUUACCAAGAGCCCUGAGCUUUUGCGUCUUGUGAAUUGUGUCUGAGGUUGCGUCGUCGGCGAUCCGUUGCCGGCGGCUCCUUUUAAACAUACAAUCUGAAGAGUCUAUUGAAUCAAUGCUAAACGCAUACAACUUUUAGCAAUGGAUCUCUUGGCUCUC